Drosophila santomea is the source of this 208-nucleotide long non-coding RNA. RefSeq lists it as uncharacterized. The transcript is spliced from 2 exons. The record is from RefSeq and is a predicted model, not a curated record. NCBI's taxonomy places the organism in Eukaryota, Metazoa, Arthropoda, Insecta, Diptera, Drosophilidae.
AGACCACUAGCAUGCUGGAGUCGAACGUCUGCGGAUAGAUACUCGUAAGGCCCACAGUAUUAUCAUUAAGGGAUAAAAAUGUACAGAUUCCGUUCACGCAUACAUAGAGAUAUAGGAGAGCAUAAGUAAAAGGCGAAGAAGAAAAGCGCGGCAUUCUGUGGCGAGUUCUUGGUUAGACGAGUGGAAUAAAGGAAAAUAAGAAGUUUAA